RNAcentral lists this unclassified non-coding RNA (412 nucleotides) under Hevea brasiliensis (rubber tree). Lineage: Eukaryota; Viridiplantae; Streptophyta; Magnoliopsida; Malpighiales; Euphorbiaceae. The record is from RNAcentral.
AAAGAAUUGCCAGAUCCUUGUCUGGAUGAGCUUGUAUAGACAAAGCUUUCUCAAUUGAGAGUACCUUGAAGAGAAAAGGAAGCUGGGUACCCCAUUUGGCAAGAACAGUUUCUCCAAGUACACUAGGGUUCUUCUGAAUCCAAUCUUUCAAAGAACACUUGUCUCUAAUUCCUCCGCCAUUAGCAUGUCCAUUCUGAAUUCUUCCUCCUCGUUCCACCACAAUGUAGGAUGGUCCAGAGUCAUGAGUUCCCAUCCAAAACUCGGCAUAUGGCUGUUUUUCAUCAAUUUUCGUCCGAGAAUUGAGCCUAUACAGACGUCCAACACAAGACUCCUUCGCCGUACGGCCCCAAUCGUAAUUCUUAACAGAACCAAUUAACCUGAGUAACCCCUUAAAACCUUCCUCCAUCUCCAU